AGGCGCCCACCAGUAUAAUGCGGGAAUACAUUUCUGUUUUCAUUUCAUGUCCUAGGUCGCCCACCAGUAUAAUGCGGGAAUACAUUUCUGUUUUUCAUUUCAUGUCCUAGGUCGCCCACCAGUAUAAUGCGGGUAUACAUUUCUGUUUUCAUUUCAUGUCCUAGGUCGCCCACCAGUAUAAUGCGGGUAUACAUUUCAGUUUUUCAUUUCUAGGUCGCCCACCAGUAUAAUGUGGGUAUGCAUUUCUGUUUUUCAUUUC
This 259-nucleotide long non-coding RNA is filed under the name Nicotiana tabacum (common tobacco). RNAcentral's name for it is "long non-coding RNA (NTAB_LNC014887)". The record is from RNAcentral. Lineage: Eukaryota; Viridiplantae; Streptophyta; Magnoliopsida; Solanales; Solanaceae.